AGUGAACGCUGGCGGUAGGCCUAACACAUGCAAGUCGAACGGCGGCACAGUAAGAGCUUGCUCUUACGGGUGGCGAGUGGCGGACGGGUGAGGAAUACAUCGGAAUCUACUUUUUCGUGGGGGAUAACGUAGGGAAACUUACGCUAAUACCGCAUACGACCUACGGGUGAAAGCAGGGGAUCUUCGGACCUUGCGCGAUUGAAUGAGCCGAUGUCGGAUUAGCUAGUUGGCGGGGUAAAGGCCCACCAAGGCGACGAUCCGUAGCUGGUCUGAGAGGAUGAGCAGCCACACUAGAACUGAGACACGGACCAGACUCCUACGGGAGGCAGCAGUGGGGAAUAUUGGACAAUGGGCGCAAGCCUGAUCCAGCCAUACCGCGUGGGUGAAGAAGGCCGUCGGGUUGUAAAGCCCUUUUGUUGGGAAAGAAAAGCAGCAGGUUAAUACCCCGCUGUUCUGACGGUACCCAAAGAAUAAGCACCGGCUAACUUCGUG
Molecule: ribosomal RNA, 492 nt
Filed under: uncultured bacterium
Lineage: Bacteria
Description: partial 16S ribosomal RNA
Rfam family: Bacterial small subunit ribosomal RNA
Source: RNAcentral